UCAGAUUGAACGCUGGCGGAAUGCUUUACACAUGCAAGUCGAACGGCAGCACGGACUUCGGUCUGGUGGCGAGUGGCGAACGGGUGAGUAAUGUAUCGGAACGUGCCCAGUCGUGGGGGAUAACGUAGUGAAAAUUACGCUAAUACCGCAUACGAUCUAUGGAUGAAAGCGGGGGAUCGCAAGACCUCGCGCGAUUGGAGCGGCCGAUAUCAGAUUAGGUAGUUGGUGGGGUAAAGGCCCACCAAGCCAACGAUCUGUAGCUGGUCUGAGAGGACGACCAGCCACACUGGAACUGAGACACGGUCCAGACUCCUACGGGAGGCAGCAGUGGGGAAUUUUGGACAAUGGGCGCAAGCCUGAUCCAGCCAUUCCGCGUGCAGGAUGAAGGCCCUCGGGUUGUAAACUGCUUUUGUACAGAACGAAAAGGUUUCUACUAAUACUAGGAGCUCAUGACGGUACUGUAAGAAUAAGCACCGGCUAACUACGUGCCAGCAGCCGCGGUAAUACGUAGGGUGCAAGCGUUAAUCGGAAUUACUGGGCGUAAAGCGUGCGCAGGCGGUUAUAUAAGUCAGAUGUGAAAUCCCCGGGCUCAACCUGGGAACUGCAUUUGAGACUGUAUAGCUAGAGUACGGCAGAGGGGGAUGGAAUUCCGCGUGUAGCAGUGAAAUGCGUAGAUAUGCGGAGGAACACCGAUGGCGAAGGCAAUCCCCUGGGCCUGUACUGACGCUCAUGCACGAAAGCGUGGGGAGCAAACAGGAUUAGAUACCCUGGUAGUCCACGCCCUAAACGAUGUCAACUGGUUGUUGGGUCUUAACUGACUCAGUAACGAAGCUAACGCGUGAAGUUGACCGCCUGGGGAGUACGGCCGCAAGGUUGAAAC
RNAcentral lists this ribosomal RNA (880 nucleotides) under uncultured beta proteobacterium. RNAcentral describes it as "bacterial SSU rRNA". It matches the Rfam family "Bacterial small subunit ribosomal RNA", at positions 24 to 900 of the family's 1533-position model. Lineage: Bacteria; Pseudomonadati; Pseudomonadota; Betaproteobacteria. The record is from RNAcentral.